Molecule: ribosomal RNA, 307 nt
Filed under: Nothrus silvestris
Lineage: Eukaryota; Metazoa; Arthropoda; Arachnida; Sarcoptiformes; Nothridae
Description: eukaryotic LSU rRNA
Rfam family: Eukaryotic large subunit ribosomal RNA
Source: RNAcentral
CCAAGGAGUCUAACAUGUGCGCGAGUCACUCGGUCUUGAAUAGGCCAGAGAGGCGCAAUGAAAGUAAAGUUGAUUGAGUUACGAUCCUCAUCCACGUCUUCGGACGGUGGGGCGCAGUAACAGCCCGCCAAUUUCGCAUUUUGACGAUAUGGCGGAGUUAUAGCGUACACGUUGGUACCCGAAAGAUGGUGAACUAUGCCUGGGCAAGACGAAGCCAGAGGAAACUCUGGUGGAGGUCUGUAGCGAUUCUGACGUGCAAAUCGAUCGUCCGACCUGGGUAUAGGGGCGAAAGACUAAUCGAACCAUC